RNAcentral lists this ribosomal RNA (440 nucleotides) under uncultured bacterium. RNAcentral describes it as "partial 16S ribosomal RNA". It matches the Rfam family "Bacterial small subunit ribosomal RNA", at positions 338 to 795 of the family's 1533-position model. The record is from RNAcentral.
CCUACGGGAGGCAGCAGUGGGGAAUAUUGCACAAUGGGGGAAACCCUGAUGCAGCGACGCCGCGUGAGUGAAGAAGUAUUUCUGUAUGUAAAGCUCUAUCAGCAGGGAAGAAAAUGACGGUACCUGAUUAAGAAGCCCCGUCUAACUACGUGCCAGCAGCCGCGGUAAUACGUAGGGGGCAAGCGUUAUACGGAUUUACUGGGUGUAAAGGGAGCGUAUGCGGAAGCGCAAGUCUGGAGUGAAAUGCCGGGGCUUAACCCCGGAACUGCUUUGGAAACUGUGCAGCUAGAGUGGAGGAGAGGUAAGUGGAAUUCUUAGUGUAGCGGUGAAAUGCGUAGAUAUUAGGAGGAACACCAGUGGCGAAGGCGGCUUACUGGACUGUAACUGACGUUGAGGCUCGAAAGCGUGGGGAGCAAACAGGAUUAGAUACCCUUGUAGUC